UGGGGAAUAUUGCACAAUGGAGGGAACUCUGAUGCAGCGACGCCGCGUGAGUGAUGAAGGAAUUCGUUUCGUAAAACUCUGUUCUAUGGGAAGAAAAGGACUGUACCAUAGGAGAAAGCUCCGGCUAAAUACGUGCCAGCAGCCGCGGUAAUACGUAUGGAGCGAGCGUUGUCCGGAAUUAUUGGGCGUAAAGGGUGCGCAGGCGGCUUUACAAGUUGGAUGUGAAAUAUUGUGGCUCAACCACAAACGUGCAUCCAAAACUGCAAAGCUUGAGUUAAGGGGAGGUAGGUGGAAUUCCUGGUGUAGCGGUGGAAUGCGUAGAUAUCAGGAGGAAUACCGGUGGCGAAGGCGACUUACUGGACUUAAACUGACGCUCAGGCACGAAAGCGUGGGGAGCAAACAGG
This 404-nucleotide ribosomal RNA is filed under the name Fusobacteriota bacterium. RNAcentral's name for it is "Fusobacteria bacterium partial 16S ribosomal RNA". It matches the Rfam family "Bacterial small subunit ribosomal RNA", at positions 355 to 776 of the family's 1533-position model. The record is from RNAcentral. Lineage: Bacteria; Fusobacteriati; Fusobacteriota.